RNAcentral lists this transfer RNA (73 nucleotides) under Marmota monax (woodchuck). Its description in RNAcentral is "tRNA.Ala". Lineage: Eukaryota; Metazoa; Chordata; Mammalia; Rodentia; Sciuridae. The record is from RNAcentral.
UGGGGCUGUGGCUCAGCGGUAGAGCACUCAUCUAGCAUAUGCAAGGUGCUUGGUUCAAUCCUUAGCACCACAA